GCACAAAAUUCAGCCGGUCGUCCGGAGACAAACUUUCCCCGAAGGAUCCAAGCGAUAUUUAAGUGCAAAUUGUUCAUCUGACUUGAUAUAGGGGGCGAAAGACUACUCGACACUUUCGAAUCAAGGCAUUGCUUUGGAAUACAUUAAACAUUAAGAUGGAUAACAUCAUAGGAUUCGGAUCUUAUAGUAUUCACCUUAGGGAUGAGAGUAAUGAUUAAUAAGGCCAAUCAAGGGCAUUUGUACUUUAAGUCAUAGGUGAUAUUUUUUUAUUUAUGAAAGACGAACUAGUGCGAAAGCAUUUGUUAAGAAUGUUUUUAUUAAUCAAGAGUAGAAGUUGAGGGGCUCGAAGACGAUCAAAUAUUGUCAACCACGGUUCGGUGGAUGUUGCUUAUGGGACUCCACCGACACCUUAUAAAGGAUCAAAAUCCUUGGAU
RNAcentral lists this non-coding RNA (434 nucleotides) under Triticum aestivum (bread wheat). RNAcentral's name for it is "Eukaryotic small subunit ribosomal RNA". It matches the Rfam family "Eukaryotic small subunit ribosomal RNA", at positions 637 to 1112 of the family's 1831-position model. RNAcentral also lists the same sequence under 1 other name. Lineage: Eukaryota; Viridiplantae; Streptophyta; Magnoliopsida; Poales; Poaceae. The record is from Rfam by way of RNAcentral.